RNAcentral lists this ribosomal RNA (423 nucleotides) under uncultured bacterium. RNAcentral's name for it is "partial 16S ribosomal RNA". It matches the Rfam family "Bacterial small subunit ribosomal RNA", at positions 361 to 776 of the family's 1533-position model. The record is from RNAcentral.
AUAUUGGACGAUGGGCGAAAGCCUGAUCCAGCCAUGCCGCGUGUGUGAAGAAGGGCUUCGGAUUGUAAAGCACUUCAAGUUGGGAGGAAGGGUUGUAGGUUAAUACCCUGCAAUUUUGCCGCUCCCAACAGAAUAAACACCGGCUACCUUCGUGCCAGCAGCCGCCGUAAUACGAAGGGUGCAAGCGUUAAUCGGAAUUACUGGGCGUAAAGCGCGCGUAGGUGGUUCGUUAAGUUGGAAGUGAAAGCCCCGGGCUUAACCUGGGAAUUGCUUUCAAAACUGACGAGCUAGAGUACGGUAGAGGGUAGUGGAAUUUCCUGUGUAGCGGUGAAAUGCGUAGAUAUAGGAAGGAACAUCAGUGGCGAAGGCGACUACCUGGACUGAUACUGACACUGAGGUGCGAAAGCGAGGGGAGCAAACAGG